Molecule: transfer RNA, 74 nt
Filed under: Streptococcus thermophilus
Lineage: Bacteria; Bacillati; Bacillota; Bacilli; Lactobacillales; Streptococcaceae
Also listed under: 1 other name
Description: tRNA-Asn
Rfam family: tRNA
About the family: Transfer RNA (tRNA) molecules are approximately 80 nucleotides in length.
Source: RNAcentral
UCAGCCAUAGCUCAGUUGGUAGUAGCGCAUGACUGUUAAUCAUGAUGUCGUAGGUUCGAGUCCUACUGGCGGAG